GACGAACGCUGGCGGCGUGCCUAGUACAUGCAAGUUGAGCGCUGACGGUUGGUGCUUGUACCAACUCGAUGAGCAGCUAACGGGUGAGUAACGCGUGGGUAAUCUUCCUUUUAUCGGGGGACAACAUUUUGAAACGAAUGCUAAUACCGCAUAAAAACUUUAACCACAAGUUUUAAGUUUUAAAGAUACCAUUGCCUCACUCAAAGAUCAUCCCGCGUUGUAUUAGCUAGUUGGUGAGGUAAAGGCUCACCAAGGGGAUGAUACAUAGCCUACCUGAGAGGGUGAUAGGGCACAUUGGGACUGAGACAAGGCCCAAACUCCUACGGGAGGGAGCAGGAGGGGAACAUCGGAAAUGGACGGAAGGCUGACCGAGCAAAGCCGGGGGAGGGAAGAAGGGUCUCGGAGCGUAAAACUCUGUUGGUAGAGAAGAAAGUUGGUGAGAGUGGAAAGCUCAUGAAGUGACGGUAACUACCCAGAAAGGGACGGCUAACUACGUG
This 497-nucleotide ribosomal RNA is filed under the name uncultured bacterium. RNAcentral's name for it is "partial 16S ribosomal RNA". It matches the Rfam family "Bacterial small subunit ribosomal RNA", at positions 28 to 507 of the family's 1533-position model. The record is from RNAcentral.